This 301-nucleotide ribosomal RNA is filed under the name uncultured bacterium. Its description in RNAcentral is "partial 16S ribosomal RNA". It matches the Rfam family "Bacterial small subunit ribosomal RNA", at positions 509 to 809 of the family's 1533-position model. The record is from RNAcentral.
CAGUAGCCGCGGGAAUACGUAGGUGGCAAGCGUUGUCCGGAAUUAUUGGGCGUAAAGGGCUCGCAGGCGGUUUCUUAAGUCUGAUGUGAAAGCCCCCGGCUCAACCGGGGAGGGUCAUUGGAAACUGGGAAACUUGAGUGCAGAAGAGGAGAGUGGAAUUCCACGUGUAGCGGUGAAAUGCGCAGAGAUGUGGAGGAACACCAGUGGCGAAGGCGACUCUCUGAUCUGUAACUGACGCUGAGGAGCGAAAGCGUGGGGAGCGAACAGGAUUAGAUACCCCUGUAGUCCCUGUCUCUUAUAA